UUUGGAGAGUUUGAUCCUGGCUCAGGACGAACGCUGGCGGCGUGCCUAAUACAUGCAAGUCGAGCGAAUCCUUCGGGAUUAGCGGCGGACGGGUGAGUAACACGUAGGCAACCUGCCCGUAAGUCUGGGAUAACUAUCGGAAACGAUAGCUAAUACCGGAUACGAAGAGAGAACGCAUGUUCUCUUUUGGAAAGGCGGAGCAAUC
Molecule: ribosomal RNA, 205 nt
Filed under: Paenibacillus ginsengarvi
Lineage: Bacteria; Bacillati; Bacillota; Bacilli; Caryophanales; Paenibacillaceae
Description: partial 16S ribosomal RNA
Rfam family: Bacterial small subunit ribosomal RNA
Source: RNAcentral